RNAcentral lists this non-coding RNA (27 nucleotides) under Mus musculus (house mouse). The record is from RNAcentral. Lineage: Eukaryota; Metazoa; Chordata; Mammalia; Rodentia; Muridae.
UCCAUCAGAAUUCAGCGGGUUGUGAGA